Molecule: ribosomal RNA, 503 nt
Filed under: uncultured bacterium
Lineage: Bacteria
Description: partial 16S ribosomal RNA
Rfam family: Bacterial small subunit ribosomal RNA
Source: RNAcentral
AUUGAACGCUGGCGGCAGGCUUAACACAUGCAAGUCGAGCGGGGUGAUGGUGCUUGCACUAUCACUUAGCGGCGGACGGGUGAGUAAUGCUUAGGAAUCUGCCUAUUAGUGGGGGACAACAUCUCGAAAGGGAUGCUAAUACCGCAUACGUCCUACGGGAGAAAGCAGGGGAUCACUUGUGACCUUGCGCUAAUAGAUGAGCCUAAGUCGGAUUAGCUAGUUGGGGGGGUAAAGGCCGACCAAGGCGACGAUCUGUAGCGGGUCUGAGAGGAUGAUCCGCCACACUGGGACUGAGACACGGCCCAGACUCCUACGGGAGGCAGCAGUGGGGAAUAUUGGACAAUGGGGGGAACCCUGAUCCAGCCAUGCCGCGUGUGUGAAGAAGGCCUUAUGGUUGUAAAGCACUUUAAGCGAGGAGGAGGCUUACCUAGUUAAUACCUGGGAUAAGUGGACGUUACUCGCAGAAUAAGCACCGGCUAACUCUGUGCCAGCAGCCGCCGCCG